RNAcentral lists this ribosomal RNA (536 nucleotides) under Serratia marcescens. RNAcentral describes it as "bacterial SSU rRNA". It matches the Rfam family "Bacterial small subunit ribosomal RNA", at positions 1 to 529 of the family's 1533-position model. Lineage: Bacteria; Pseudomonadati; Pseudomonadota; Gammaproteobacteria; Enterobacterales; Yersiniaceae. The record is from RNAcentral.
UUUUGAGUUUGAUCGUGGCUCAGAUUGAGCGCUGGCGGCAGGCUUAACACAUGCAAGUCGGAGCGGUAGCACAAGGGAGCUUGCUCCCUGGGUGACGAGCGGCGGACGGGUGAGUAAUGUCUGGGAAACUGCCUGAUGGAGGGGGAUAACUACUGGAAACGGUAGCUAAUACCGCAUAACGUCGCAAGACCAAAGAGGGGGACCUUCGGGCCUCUUGCCAUCAGAUGUGCCCAGAUGGGAUUAGCUAGUAGGUGGGGUAAUGGCUCACCUAGGCGACGAUCCCUAGCUGGUCUGAGAGGAUGACCAGCCACACUGGAACUGAGACACGGUCCAGACUCCUACGGGAGGCAGCAGUGGGGAAUAUUGCACAAUGGGCGCAAGCCUGAUGCAGCCAUGCCGCGUGUGUGAAGAAGGCCUUCGGGUUGUAAAGCACUUUCAGCGAGGAGGAAGGUGGUGAGCUUAAUACGCUCAUCAAUUGACGUUACUCGCAGAAGAAGCACCGGCUAACUCCGUGCCAGCCGCCGCCGUAACACAAA